CCUAAAGGGCAACUUGAUCCAUCGCCCUCAGAUAGAGACACUAUGCGCAUAAAUCGCGAAGCCGAAGCAUGCACAUGCUUGAUGCUUCUGUUGUUCUGAACUCAUGGUGUGGUCCCCGACUUACCGCUCUCAGACUUGUAAAUUCUAAUUAAGUAAUCACAAGAGAAACCCCAAGUGGGAAAAGGACAACCGGCACCAAAUUUAAUCGCAUCCACACCUAUCUCUCACCAAAUAUAUAUAUUUGGACAGGCAUCUGCAUUCCCCACGAAAGUUGGGAAAAUAAUGGAUUCGAUUUCCCAUGUCACCCUCUGCCCAGCCUUUCAGAUUAAGAAAAUACUCUUAAACAAGCAAACUAGGAAUAUAAUUAACAUAAAACAUAAACUACCUACCUCCCGGGUCCACCAUAAACUACCCAGCUCAUCCAACGCUUCAUAUUACCCACGGAACCCCUCGCCCCAUGAACCAUGCCACACUGUAUCACUACUUCCUUGCUAAAGGGAAAGACAAAAAGGCCUGUCUACAAAAUCAAAAUCACAAGUAUAUUAGAGGCUGAGAGAAAACCUGAUUUUGUUGUUUUACCUUGACAAUAGAAAACGCAAUGUCAAACAGCAAUCUCCAAAUACAAACAGAGGAACCCCCUCCCGCUCAUACGCCUCUACUAACUUCCAAUUCAAAUCAAAACCCUCAAAAUCAAUGUAUUACUAAAAAUAGCAACAAUAAUAAUGAUGGUAAUGAGGAGAGUGAGUUCGAUCGAACGCUGGCGAGUUUGGAAGCGCUUCUCACUUUGCUUGGCUUCAACCAGCGAACCGUUUUCAGCUUUGCCGUCUCAUGGACCGUCUUCGCGGUGGUUGGCACCACGAUGCCGCUGGUGGCGCUGGCUCUUUCCGAGUGCUCUGACGGCCGCAGCCACUGCGAGAAAUACCAGGUUCCGGCAUUCGAGAUGGCGAUCGUGGCGUUCCAGGCGUGCCUUGCUGCCGUCUCACUGCUGUGCCUCUCGCACAACCUGAGGAAGUACGGCGUCAGGAGGUUCCUCUUCGUUGACCGCCACAGCGGACAGUUGCAUUGCUUUCACCGCGAUUACGUCAACCAGAUUCAGGGAUCUUUGCGUUUGCUCAUUAUAUGGAUGUUGCCGUGCUUCUUUGUGAAGACAGCGCGAGAAAUCAUUCGCAUUUCAAAUGUGCAGCAUGAGUCCUGGAUACUCUCAGUUGCUAUUUUCUUUGCUUUGAUUAUAUCUUGGACUUAUGUGAGUGCAGUCUCUUUGUCGGCUACUAUUAUGUUUCACUUGGUCUGCAAUUUGCAAGUUAUCCACUUUGAUGAUUAUGGGAAACUCUUGCAAAGGGAGAGUGACGUUCUAGUUUUCAUGGAGGAGCACAUUCGGUUGCGCUAUCAUCUCUCCAAGAUAAGCCAUAGGUUCAGAAUAUAUCUUCUUCUACAGUUCUUGGUUGUCACAGCAAGCCAAUUUGUCACUCUAUUGCAGGUUACGGGAUACGGUGGCAUGCUCACUUUCUUAAAUGGUGGAGAUUUUGCUGUAUCUACACUUGUUCAAGUUGUUGGCAUCAUUAUUUGUCUGCAUGCGGCAACAAGAAUAUCUCACAGAGCUCAGGGUGUUGUUUCACUAGCAAGCAGGUGGCAUGCACUGUUGACAUGCUCUUCUGAUGCAUCUCAACUAAGAAGCUCUGCCAGUACAGGGAGCUUGGAGGCUGUAAACCAUUUAAACUCGAUACAAUUAGACUAUUCUGAGAGUGAUUUGGAGUCAAUGGAUUAUGCUGGAAUGCCUACGAAUACCCAGUUGGCUUCCUAUAUGUCCUCACACCACAAGAGGCAAGCCUUUGUGAUGUACUUGCAAACUAAUCCUGGAGGAAUCACUAUAUUUGGAUGGACAGUUGAUCGGUCCCUUGUCAACACAAUUUUUUUCCUUGAAUUAAGUCUAGUUACCUUUGUUCUCAGCAAGACAAUAAUUUAAGGAGGAAAAGAAGAUUGCAAGCAGACACCAAGAACAAGAAGAAACCUUCUAAAUUUAGUUCUUCUGGCUUAGCGUUAUCAUUUUGCUGGAAAAUGGCCACAAAUAGCCAUAACUUUUUCUGGCGACUGAUGUUAAUAACUUUGCUCAAGCCAUGCCAGCACGUAACACGGACACGGCAGCGAACCAUGCAUGAAGGUAGAAAGGUAGGGACCAAGUUAUAUCUGUCAAUCUAUGGAACUGAGCUCUGUGACGUUUCUGUUCAAGGUGCUUUGCUUCUACCCAACUUUGAAGAUUGAUGGGGGGUUUCAUCUAACGACUUGAGCUCCAAUUCUCCAGAGCAGCAGUAUUAAUAUUGUCCUAAUACGUAAUCAAAGUUGCAUAUCUAUCAUAAAACUGGAAUAAUUUGAGAAACUGAUCAUGCCUACUUUUGUGUUGAAGAUUUCAGUCUCAGAAGAACAGGCAUGUUUAAGAGCGUGCGUGCAGUUGAGUUCGAAAGAAGUAGAAUGCAUCUAAUUAAG
This is a non-coding RNA of Arachis ipaensis, 2481 nucleotides long. Lineage: Eukaryota; Viridiplantae; Streptophyta; Magnoliopsida; Fabales; Fabaceae. The record is from RefSeq and is a predicted model, not a curated record.